Molecule: ribosomal RNA, 125 nt
Filed under: Corollospora sp.
Lineage: Eukaryota; Fungi; Ascomycota; Sordariomycetes; Microascales; Halosphaeriaceae
Description: partial small subunit ribosomal RNA
Rfam family: Eukaryotic small subunit ribosomal RNA
Source: RNAcentral
CCUUUGUACACACCGCCCGUCGCUACUACCGAUUGAAUGGCUCAGUGAGAUCUUCGGACUGGCCCAGAGGGGUGGGAAACCACCCUUCAGGGCCGGAAAGUUGCUCAAACUCGGUCAUUUAGAGG